GACGAACGCUGGCGGCGUGCUUAACACAUGCAAGUCGAACGGAAAGGCCCUGCUUUUUUGGGGUGCUCGAGUGGCGAACGGGUGAGUAACACGUGAGUAACCUGCCCUUGACUUUGGGAUAACUUCAGGAAACUGGGGCUAAUACCGGAUAGGAGCUCCUGCUGCAUGGUGGGGGUUGGAAAGCUUCGGCGGGUGGGGAUUGACUCGCGCCUUAUCAGCUUGUUGGUGGGGUAGUGGCUUACCAAGGCUUUGACGGGUACCCGGCCUGAGAGGGUGACCGGCCACAUUGGGACUGAGAUACGGCCCAGACUCCUACGGGAGGCAGCAGUGGGGAAUAUUGCACAAUGGGCGGAAGCCUGAUGCAGCAACGCCGCGUGCGGGAUGACGGCCUUCGGGUUGUAAACCGCUUUCGCCUGUGACGAAGCGUGAGUGACGGUAAUGGGUAAAGAAGCACCGGCUAACUACGUG
RNAcentral lists this ribosomal RNA (468 nucleotides) under uncultured bacterium. RNAcentral describes it as "partial 16S ribosomal RNA". It matches the Rfam family "Bacterial small subunit ribosomal RNA", at positions 28 to 507 of the family's 1533-position model. The record is from RNAcentral.